GGGGAAUAUUGCACAAUGGGGGAAACCCUGAUGCAGCGACGCCGCGUGAGUGAAGAAGUAUUUCGGUAUGUAAAGCUCUAUCAGCAGGGAAGAAGAAGGACGGUACCUGAGUAAGAAGCCCCGGCUAACUAC
Molecule: ribosomal RNA, 132 nt
Filed under: uncultured bacterium
Lineage: Bacteria
Description: partial 16S ribosomal RNA
Rfam family: Bacterial small subunit ribosomal RNA
Source: RNAcentral